GACGAACGCUGGCGGCGUGCCUAAUACAUGCAAGUAGAACGCUGAAGGAGGAGCUUGCUUCUCCGGAUGAGUUGCGAACGGGUGAGUAACGCGUAGGUAACCUGCCUGGUAGCGGGGGAUAACUAUUGGAAACGAUAGCUAAUACCGCAUAAGAGUAGAUGUUGCAUGACAUUUGCUUAAAAGGUGCAAUUGCAUCACUACCAGAUGGACCUGCGUUGUAUUAGCUAGUUGGUGAGGUAACGGCUCACCAAGGCGACGAUACAUAGCCGACCUGAGAGGGCGAUCGGCCACACUGGGACUGAGACACGGCACAGACUCCUACGGGAGGCAGCAGUAGGGAAUCUUCGGCAAUGGACGGAAGUCUGACCGAGCAACGCCGCGUGAGUGAAGAAGGUUUUCGGAUCGUAAAGCUCUGUUGUAAGAGAAGAACGAGUGUGAGAGUGGAAAGUUCACACUGUGACGGUAUCUUACCAGAAAGGGACGGCUAACUACGUG
RNAcentral lists this ribosomal RNA (495 nucleotides) under uncultured bacterium. RNAcentral describes it as "partial 16S ribosomal RNA". It matches the Rfam family "Bacterial small subunit ribosomal RNA", at positions 28 to 507 of the family's 1533-position model. The record is from RNAcentral.